RNAcentral lists this ribosomal RNA (250 nucleotides) under uncultured bacterium. RNAcentral describes it as "partial 16S ribosomal RNA". It matches the Rfam family "Bacterial small subunit ribosomal RNA", at positions 524 to 773 of the family's 1533-position model. The record is from RNAcentral.
UACGGAGGGUGCGAGCGUUAUUCGGAAUUACUGGGCGUAAAGCGCGUGCAGGCGGUUUGGCAAGUCUGAUGUGAAAGCCCCGGGCUUAACCUGGGAAGUGCAUUGGAAACUGCCGGACUUGAGUACUGGAGAGGAAGGGGGAAUUCCCGGUGUAGAGGUGAAAUUCGUAGAGAUCGGGAGGAAUACCAGUGGCGAAGGCGCCCUUCUGGACGGUUACUGACGCUGAGACGCGAAAGCGUGGGGAGCAAAC